UGAGUAAGGUAGCCUUCAUUGACAUCUCAGGGCCAGAAUUUUUGUAUACAAUCUUUAGCGAGGACAGGAAAGGAUGGACUGAGAACUUCUAGAGGAAGGCAGGUCAUUUAAGAUGGAAGAACUCACCACGAAUCUGGGCCACACCUUCUGUUGGAAGCCUAUAUAAGGACAUGGAAGAAGGAAGCUUUUGUUCUUUGCUUCCCUAAUCUCAGCUUGCUAGCAAGUCCAUUCCUUCACUGGCAUCAAAGCCUACUUCUUCAGGAUUCCAGCAUAUAGUGAAGACCAGCUGAGACAUUAUACUCCAUGGACUGAGCACCUACUGGAUUCUUGGACUUUCAACUCAUAGCCAACCAUUGUUCAAUUAGCUGGACCAUAACUCAUUCUAGUAUAUUCUAUUCCUAUCUCUAUAAAGAUUCAUCCUAUAGAUUCUGUUACUCUAGAGAAUCCUGACAUAUACAUCCAUCCUCAUGUGCACUUAGUUGUCAGUUCUUUCCAAAGUCCCUAUGUUCACACAUAAGCAGGCACAACUUUAAUAGCUCCAAAAAUAACAACUGAGAAAAUAGCAAUAUACUGAAAGUUAGCAACUUUGGUUUUCUCAAAUUCUCUAAGUCUUUGUUUCAGAUAAAAACCAAUAACUACUCAAAGUGA
This is a long non-coding RNA of Mastomys coucha (southern multimammate mouse), 648 nucleotides long. RefSeq lists it as uncharacterized. The transcript has 2 exons. The record is from RefSeq and is a predicted model, not a curated record. Lineage: Eukaryota; Metazoa; Chordata; Mammalia; Rodentia; Muridae.